Long non-coding RNA from Oncorhynchus nerka (sockeye salmon), 1362 nucleotides. RefSeq lists it as uncharacterized. The transcript has 3 exons. NCBI's taxonomy places the organism in Eukaryota, Metazoa, Chordata, Actinopteri, Salmoniformes, Salmonidae. The record is from RefSeq and is a predicted model, not a curated record.
GUCUCUGCAGCAUGUAGGUGGUGCAGGUAUCAUUGCCAGAAUGAUCCAGCUUUGUUGCAUUGCUCGGCAAAAAUACUCUGUUUCUGCACACCUGUCUCUCGUCCACAUUGAUACAAAUCAAAAAUUGGGUACUAAGGUACUAAGAUGUAUAAUGUCUCCAUCAAAUCUAAGAAGUUAUUUUAACUUUUUUAUUCUUACUUAUUCCUUGACAAAUGUUCAAUGAUGUAUGAAAUUGGAGUUGUUCUUCAUCAACUGGUAAUUCAUAAAUAAUGAAGCAGGUUAAUAGGGUAAACAUUUGACUUUUAAUUCCAAUGCUUUUUUUCAAGAUAUAACAGGUAAGUAUAUUAUUUUUUAUACAUAUUGCAUAUUUCCCAUCACCGAAUGAACAACCACAAUACCAGUCUGGUGUUAAGCUUUCUGUGCUGUGUUGACAUAUCCUGAAUAUGACAUCUGCUGCUUUAGAUUGAACAGUCAUACUGUAUCUCAGUUAUUGUUUUCAUAUCUACAUAGAAGAAGCUAUUUUCUUUACUUUUAGAGUGUGAGCUGAUCAAGAGGUCAAAAAUGUAGAUAUUGCCAGAUGUUCACUGUCCGAGGAACAGGCUGUGGAACCUUUAUUGCUGGCAAAAGUGUCCAUAACCAGAGGUAAUUAAACUGUUCUGUGUUCUUUUUCUCUCUUCCUCGCUGCCUGUCUUGUUGUACAUGGAACCUGUUUCACAUGCACAGUUUGGAGGAAGAAGGAUACACUGCCUCAUCUGUGGGCAGAUCUGCAGCAUUUUACAGAGAUCUGGAAUAAUCACCCUUUAAGUGCAGAGCUGAACUUGACACCUCACCAGCUGCAUAUCAGAAUGCACAUUUUUGUUUUUGCCUUAUCACUACACAGCUGAUUCAAAUGAUCAAGUCAUCAUCAAGCUUCAAGUGGUUAUAUUAGCUGUGUUGGUUAACCCCUCCCGCAUCUGAACUGGCUGACACAGAGGGCACAGAAUGAUCAUAGGUAUGUUUUGAUGUGAGAGAGGAAGCCAGUCCUGUCAUCGCCACCUCACCUGCUCUUAAGAUAACCUUCAGGUCAACUGGGGGCCCAAGGCUGGUUAGGAGACACCGCUAGAGACACUGUAAUUGUGAUGAACUGGGAGAAUAUUAGGGUAGCAAUGUAAUUUGUUAAUCAUAUGCUGUCUGCCUCUGUUCUUACCUCUUUCCCUUUCUGUCUUCUACACCUCUCCACACCUCGUCUUUCUCCUCAUUUUAUAAUGCACACCAUAUGUGCAUUGAAGUACAGAUUGAACUUGUAUUUAUAAUAUAACAUUACAAUGAUCAUAAUUAUAACACCUGUAUAAUGAACUUUUUUCAAUAAAGUGUUUCACAUUC